UUCCGGUUGAUCCUGCCGGACCUGACUGCUAUCGGAUUGAUACUAAGCCAUGCGAGUCUUUGCAGUAAUGCAAGGCAGACGGCUCAGUAACACGUAGUCAACUUACCCUAUGGACGAGGAUAAUCUCGGGAAACUGAGCAUAAUACUCGAUAGAUCAUAAUGCCUGGAAUGGUUUAUGGUUAAAAUGAUUCGUCGCCAUAGGAUGGGACUGCGGCCUAUCAGCUUGUUGGUGAGGUAAUGGCCCACCAAGGCGAUUACAGGUACGGGCUCUGAGAGGAGAAGCCCGGAGAUGGGUACUGAGACAAGGACCCAGGCCCUAUGGGGCGCAGCAGGCGAGAAAACUUUGCAAUGUGCGAAAGCACGACAAGGUUAGUCCGAGUGAUUUCUGCUAAAGAGAUCUUUUGCUAGUUAUAAAACCACUAGUGAAUAAGGGGUGGGCAAGUUCUGGUGUCAGCCGCCGCGGUAAAACCAGCACCUCAAGUGGUCAGGAUGAUUAUUGGGCCUAAAGCAUCCGUAGCCGGCUCUGUAAGUUUUCGGUUAAAUCCAUGCGCUCAACGCAUGGGCUGCCGAAAAUACUGCAGAGAUAGGGAGUGGGAGAGGUAGACGGUACUCGGUAGGAAGGGGUAAAAUCCUUUGAUCUAUCGAUGACCACCUGUGGCGAAGGCGGUCUACCAGAACACGUUCGACGGUGAGGGAUGAAAGCUGGGGGAGCAAACCGGAUUAGAUACCCGGGUAGUCCCAGCUGUAAACGAUGCAGACUCGAUGAUGCAUUGGCAUAUAGCCAGUGCAGUGUCGCAGGGAAGCCGUUAAGUCUGCCGCCUGGGAAGUACGUACGCAAGUAUGAAACUUAAAGGAAUUGGCGGGGGAGCACCACAAGGGGUGAAGCCUGCGGUUCAAUUGGAGUCAACGCCGG
RNAcentral lists this ribosomal RNA (913 nucleotides) under uncultured marine archaeon. Its description in RNAcentral is "bacterial SSU rRNA". It matches the Rfam family "Archaeal small subunit ribosomal RNA", at positions 1 to 921 of the family's 1478-position model. The record is from RNAcentral.